GCCAGUGUGGUGUAGUGGUUUGAGCACUGGACUACAACUCUGGAGACCAGGAUUCAAAUCCCUGCUCAGGCA
Molecule: non-coding RNA, 72 nt
Organism: Phrynosoma platyrhinos (Desert horned lizard)
Lineage: Eukaryota; Metazoa; Chordata; Lepidosauria; Squamata; Phrynosomatidae
Source: the annotation of a GenBank genome assembly